AGCGGUCGCUAGGGGAGCUCGCAAGGGCUGAGAAAUCCCGUUUAGGGGAUGACCCUGUGAACCUGUAUGGGUAAUUCCAGCGAAGGAAAGCGGCAGAAAUUUACG
This 105-nucleotide non-coding RNA is filed under the name Deltaproteobacteria bacterium. Its description in RNAcentral is "TPP sequence". It matches the Rfam family "TPP riboswitch aptamer (THI element)". Rfam says of the family: Vitamin B(1) in its active form thiamin pyrophosphate (TPP) is an essential coenzyme that is synthesised by coupling of pyrimidine and thiazole moieties in bacteria. The previously detected thiamin-regulatory element, thi box was extended, resulting in a new, highly conserved RNA secondary structure, the THI element, which is widely distributed in eubacteria and also occurs in some archaea. The record is from RNAcentral. Lineage: Bacteria; Pseudomonadati; Myxococcota; Myxococcia.